AAUGAACGUUGGCGGCGUGGAUUAGGCAUGCAAGUCGCGCGAGAAAUGUAGCAAUACAUGGAAAGCGGCGAAAGGGAGAGCAAUACAUAGGUACGUACCCUUGGGACUGGGAUAGCGGCGGGAAACUGCCGGUAAUACCAGAUGACGUUUCCGAACCAAAGGUGUGAAUCCGCCUGAGGAGCGGCCUAUGUCCUAUUAGCUUGUUGGCGAGGUAACGGCUCACCAAGGCAAAGAUGGGUAUGGGGUGUGAGAGCAUGCCCCCACUCACUGGGACUGAGACACAGCCCAGACACCUACGGGGGGCUGCAGCCGAGAGUCUUCGGCAAUGGACGCAAGUGUGACCGAGCGACGCCGCGUGCGGGAUGAAGGCCUUCGGGUUGUAAACCGCUGUCGUAGGGGAGGAAAUUCUGGUGGGUACUCCCAUCAGAUUGACUGAUCCUAGGAGGAAGGACCGGCUAAUCUCGUGCCAGCCGCCGCGGUAA
This 482-nucleotide ribosomal RNA is filed under the name uncultured bacterium. Its description in RNAcentral is "partial 16S ribosomal RNA". It matches the Rfam family "Bacterial small subunit ribosomal RNA", at positions 29 to 523 of the family's 1533-position model. The record is from RNAcentral.